AAAGAAGAAGAAAAGAAGAAGAAAAAAAUAAGAGAGAGAGAGGUGAGGCAUCUGCCUCUCACCCCUCAUCCUGUUUCUCCCUGUGCAUGCAUUGGUGUGGGUGAGUGAAUUAGAAAAUAGAGAAGAAAAAAAAAUAAAUGCAAGAAACUCUCAUCCCCUCUCUUUCUUUCUCUCCUUCCCUCUUUUUUUCCCUCCCUUCUCUUCUCUUUCCUUGCCGUUGCUUGGUGGUGGUAGCUGCUGCCAUAGGGGAGUUCUUCAACACAACAAGUAACUCUUAACCCUCUUGUAUUUAACCAAUUUCAAUUACAAGUUAACUAUUGUACGAUGGGAUGGUG
Molecule: long non-coding RNA, 335 nt
Filed under: Elaeis guineensis (African oil palm)
Lineage: Eukaryota; Viridiplantae; Streptophyta; Magnoliopsida; Arecales; Arecaceae
Description: long non-coding RNA (EGUI_LNC020934)
Source: RNAcentral